RNAcentral lists this ribosomal RNA (433 nucleotides) under uncultured bacterium. RNAcentral's name for it is "partial 16S ribosomal RNA". It matches the Rfam family "Bacterial small subunit ribosomal RNA", at positions 29 to 507 of the family's 1533-position model. The record is from RNAcentral.
AACGAACGCUGGCGGCAUGCCUAACACAUGCAAGUCGAACGAGACCUUCGGGUCUAGUGGCGCACGGGUGCGUAACGCGUGGGAACCUGCCCUUAGGUUCGGAAUAACUCCCCGAAAGGGGUGCUAAUACCGGAUAAUUUCUUCGGACCAAAGAUUUAUCGCCUUUGGAUGGGCCCGCGUUGGAUUAGCUAGUUGGUAGGGUAAAAGCCUACCAAGGCGACGAUCCAUAGCUGGUCUGAGAGGAUGAUCAGCCACACUGGGACUGAGACACGGCCCAGACUACUACGGGAGGCAGCAGUGGGGAAUAUUGGAAAAUGGGCGAAAGCCUGAUCCAGCAAUGCCGCGUGAGUGAUGAAGGCCUUAGGGUUGUAAAGCUCUUUUACCCGGGAUGAUAAUGACAGUACCGGGAGAAUAAGCUCCGGCUAACUCCGUG